UACGUAGGGUGCGAGCGUUAAUCGGAAUUACUGGGCGUAAAGCGUGCGCAGGCGGUUUGUUAAGACAGAUGUGAAAUCCCCGGGCUUAACCUGGGAACUGCAUUUGUGACUGGCAAGCUAGAGUAUGGCAGAGGGGGGUAGAAUUCCAGGUGUAGCGGUGAAAUGCGUAGAUAUCUGGAGGAAUACCGGUGGCGAAGGCGGCAUCCUGGACCGACAUUGACGCUGAACGGCGAAAGCUAGGGGAGCAAACGGG
RNAcentral lists this ribosomal RNA (253 nucleotides) under uncultured bacterium. RNAcentral describes it as "partial 16S ribosomal RNA". It matches the Rfam family "Bacterial small subunit ribosomal RNA", at positions 524 to 776 of the family's 1533-position model. The record is from RNAcentral.